GAUGAACGCUAGCGGAAGGCUUAAUACAUGCAAGUCGAGCGGUAGGUGGCUUCGGCCAUUGAGAGCGGCGCACGGGUGAGUAACGCGUACAUGACCUGCCUGUCAGAAGGGGAUAGCCCUGGGAAACUGGGAUUAAUACCCUAUGGUAUUGAUAUUAUGAAUGAUAUCAAUUAAAGUUGAGGCGCUGACAGAUGGAUGUGCGUCUGAUUAGCUAGUUGGUAGGGUAACGGCCUACCAAGGCGACGAUCAGUAGGGGGCGUGAGAGCGUGGUCCCCCACACGGGUACUGAGACACGGACCCGACUCCUACGGGAGCAGCAGUAAGGAAUAUUGGUCAAUGGAGGAACUCUGAACCAGCCAUGCCGCGUGAAGGAUGACGGCCCUCUGGGUU
This 390-nucleotide ribosomal RNA is filed under the name uncultured bacterium. Its description in RNAcentral is "bacterial SSU rRNA". It matches the Rfam family "Bacterial small subunit ribosomal RNA", at positions 28 to 424 of the family's 1533-position model. The record is from RNAcentral.